CCUACGGGAGGCAGCAGUGAGGAAUAUUGGUCAAUGGACGAGAGUCUGAACCAGCCAAGUAGCGUGAAGGAUGACUGCCCUAUGGGUUGUAAACUUCUUUUAUAUGGGAAUAAAACGUUCCACGUGUGGGAUUUUGUAUGUACCAUAUGAAUAAGGUUCGGCUAACUCCGUGCCAGCAGCCGCGGUAAUACGGAGGAUCCGAGCGUUAUCCGGAUUUAUUGGGUUUAAGGGGAGCGUAGGUGGAUUGUUAAGUCAGUUGUGAAAGUUUGCGGCUCAACCGUGAAAUUGCAGUUGAAACUGGCAGUCUUGAGUACAGUAGAGGUGGGCGGAAUUAGUGGUGUAGCGGUGAAAUGCUUAGAUAUCACGAAGAACUCCGAUUGCGAAGGCAGUUCACUGGACUGCAACUGACACUGAGGCUCGAAAGUGUGGGUAUCAAACAGGAUUAGAUACCCCAGUAGUC
Molecule: ribosomal RNA, 460 nt
Filed under: uncultured bacterium
Lineage: Bacteria
Description: partial 16S ribosomal RNA
Rfam family: Bacterial small subunit ribosomal RNA
Source: RNAcentral